AAGCAAAAUAGAUUUUAAUAGGAGGACAAACGUUUGCUAAAGUACAGUGAUAAAAAUGUAUUAACUUCGGCUCUGAAUGAGGUUGCCUAUUCUAUCCUAGUAUGGGG
This 107-nucleotide small nucleolar RNA is filed under the name Sorex araneus (European shrew). The record is from RNAcentral. Lineage: Eukaryota; Metazoa; Chordata; Mammalia; Eulipotyphla; Soricidae.